GGUUAGAUUUUUUGGUAUAAAAUGCUACUGAAAAUAGUCAAUAAUCGUAAAGAUAUAUUUAUCAUAAUUUUGUUUAUUAGCUUUACUUUGUCACAGCGAAAUUAUCAUUUUAACUGAAAAAAAUCUUCGUAGGUAACUGCAGCUACUGAAACGGUCAUUGGUUUUGAGAGAUUAUAUGAAUUUAUCCUUGUAAGAGCAGAAAAUAAAGCGAUAAUGCCUCGCUUUAACAGCAAAAAGAUACUCGUUCAAUUGAAGCAUUCAUUUUUAGUACCUCUAUUCAAAUAAAUUAUGAAGAUGGAAAAAUAAGUUUUAA
This is a non-coding RNA of Hydra vulgaris (swiftwater hydra), 313 nucleotides long. NCBI's taxonomy places the organism in Eukaryota, Metazoa, Cnidaria, Hydrozoa, Anthoathecata, Hydridae. The record is from RefSeq and is a predicted model, not a curated record.